GAUGAACGCUGGCGGCGUGCCUAAUACAUGCAAGUCGAGCGAACAGACGAGGAGCUUGCUCCUCUGACGUUAGCGGCGGACGGGUGAGUAACACGUGGAUAACCUACCUAUAAGACUGGGAUAACUUCGGGAAACCGGAGCUAAUACCGGAUAAUAUAUUGAACCGCAUGGUUCAAUAGUGAAAGACGGUUUUGCUGUCACUUAUAGAUGGAUCCGCGCCGCAUUAGCUAGUUGGUAAGGUAACGGCUUACCAAGGCAACGAUGCGUAGCCGACCUGAGAGGGUGAUCAGCCACACUGGAACUGAGACACGGUCCAGACUCCUACGGGAGGCAGCAGUAGGGAAUCUUCCGCAAUGGGCGAAAGCUUGACGGAGCAACGCCGCGUGAGUGAUGAAGGUCUUCGGAUCGUAAACCUCUGUUAUUAGGGAAGAACAAAUGUGUAAGUAACUAUGCACGUCUUGACGGUACCUAAUCAGAAAGCCACGGCUAACUACGUG
RNAcentral lists this ribosomal RNA (497 nucleotides) under uncultured bacterium. RNAcentral describes it as "partial 16S ribosomal RNA". It matches the Rfam family "Bacterial small subunit ribosomal RNA", at positions 28 to 507 of the family's 1533-position model. The record is from RNAcentral.